GAGGAACGCAGGGAUACAUCCUAUAGGGAAGUUUCCGGGGACCAGCAGUGUCUUUGCACCGAGCUCAAUUAAAACAUUGAUGGCAGAACGUAUAUUUUUUAUGAUGGAAGGGACAUAGGUUCGUAUUUCAUCUAGGGUUCUUUUUUGGUAAAAUGAAUGGUAUAAAUCGUUUCCUCCGAUCUCUCCCAUCAAGAACAACGAAUUACUCAUGAUGUCGUCGCAGUCUCGUUUGGAGGAGCAAAGCGCUGGCAACAUCUUCUUGAACCAUUUCAUC
RNAcentral lists this unclassified non-coding RNA (274 nucleotides) under Hevea brasiliensis (rubber tree). Lineage: Eukaryota; Viridiplantae; Streptophyta; Magnoliopsida; Malpighiales; Euphorbiaceae. The record is from RNAcentral.